GAUCUCUAGGUGAAGAUGAUUGACAAAGUCUCCUUCACCUUCGGAGUCCUGAGUAUCUGUGCCCUGGAGUGGUUAGCUCUUAGACAUGCAGACUGGUUUCCCUGGGCUUACUAUUCUAUUAUGACAGUUUUACUGGCUCUGAGGUUCCAUGUGUACAAAGCUGAAAAGUUUGAAUUAUUUAUGAUUGAUUUCUGCUAUUUCAUGAACUUCUCAGGUGAAUAGAUUCAUUAUUUUAGUCAUUUU
Molecule: long non-coding RNA, 243 nt
Organism: Eurytemora carolleeae
Lineage: Eukaryota; Metazoa; Arthropoda; Copepoda; Calanoida; Temoridae
Exons: 3
Source: RefSeq, a predicted model, not a curated record